UACGUAGGGGGCAGGCGUUGUCCGGAAUCAUUGGGCGUAAAGAGCGUGUAGGCGGUUUAGUAAGUCUGCUGUGAAAGUCCAGGGCUCAACCCUGGGAUGCCGGUGGAUACUGCUGGGCUAGAGUACGGAAGAGGCGAGUGGAAUUCCCGGUGUAGCGGUGAAAUGCGCAGAUAUCGGGGGGAACACCUAUUGCGAAGGCAGCUCGCUGGGACGUCACUGACGCUGAGACGCGAAAGCGUGGGGAGCAAACAGG
Molecule: ribosomal RNA, 253 nt
Filed under: uncultured bacterium
Lineage: Bacteria
Description: partial 16S ribosomal RNA
Rfam family: Bacterial small subunit ribosomal RNA
Source: RNAcentral